UACGAAGGGGGCUAGCGUUGCUCGGAAUUACUGGGCGUAAAGCGCGCGUAGGUGGCUUUCUAAGUCCUGUCGUGAAAGGUCGUGGCCCAACUGCGACAUUGCGGAGGAUACUGGGGAGCUUGAGGGCAGCAGAGGCCGGUGGAAUUCCCGGUGGAGUGGUGAAAUGCGUAGAUAUCGGGAGGAACACCAGAGGCGAAGGCGGCCGGCUGGGCUGUACCUGACGCUGAGGCGCGAAAGCGUGGGGAGCGAACCGG
This 254-nucleotide ribosomal RNA is filed under the name uncultured bacterium. RNAcentral describes it as "partial 16S ribosomal RNA". It matches the Rfam family "Bacterial small subunit ribosomal RNA", at positions 524 to 776 of the family's 1533-position model. The record is from RNAcentral.